Long non-coding RNA from Nymphaea colorata (pocket water lily), 1163 nucleotides. RefSeq lists it as uncharacterized. Lineage: Eukaryota; Viridiplantae; Streptophyta; Magnoliopsida; Nymphaeales; Nymphaeaceae. The record is from RefSeq and is a predicted model, not a curated record. The transcript is spliced from 2 exons.
CUCAAUUAUUCUCGAAAUGAGAAGGCGUGGAUGCAAGCGAUGCAUAUUUACCUCAACUUCUGAUGAAAUGACAUGUUGGCUUAUCUUUUUUUAACAAUUUCCCUGCAUUUCUUUUACUUUUUCUCUCCGAUAUCACCAGCACCACACGGUGAUAAAUAAUUGAUAUUCUCUCUUUGGUCCUGAAAAGGCUGUAUGAAAAAAACGAGGUGGGGCUCCAUUUUCUAAAUAAAUAAGAGGGUUUGGAAGGGGAGGAGAUCGAGUGCACAGUUUUCGUUCUUUCCUCCCUCUGGUUUUCCCUUUUUCUCACUUGUUUAUUGCAGUGUCCAAGUUGGUGGUGCUUCUCUUUUUGGAAGAGGACCAAUUCAUGCUUUUCCACAGCUUUCUUGAACUUCAGUGUCUUGAGGUAGAGAUUCUUCUUUAUACGUUGAUCUUCUCAUACGUGCAAGCUCAAGAAUGCUGUGGGAAAACAUGGGUAGGCUCCAAAAUCUUCAGUUUUUUUGAUCUGCAGCUAUUUCCGCCAACUUCGAUGCAUUAAUCAUUAAAAUUGGUGAGAUUUUCUUUGGUUGAGUUCCUUUUUCAGUUUGGGAUCGUGGGUUGUAUGAGAUCUAGAAAAGGCAACAACAGGAAACAGUAGAGAAAAAAGGCUGUGGGUUGCGUCCACUUGCAGGUAAGAGCGUCUCAUUUAGAGCUGCAUCUGAAGGCCAAGGAACAGAAAAAUGAUGGGUUCUGCAACAACCUAUUUGGGGAAGAAGAAGGUGAAAGGGAGAAAGGAAGGGAAACUGUUAAUGGGUUGAUCAAGAUGCAAACUCUUCUGGCCCUUACAAUUGUCAGCAAAUCCUAACUCGUCUACGAUCGGUGGCAUAUCAAAAACUUCUUUUAUGAACGAAAUCAUUGUACACCGACCCUAGGAAAAAGAAAAGCGAUAAAGAAACAUUAACUUGUUGGAAGGAUAUAAAAUUUCACAGUGGUGAAGGUCAACAUGGGGGAGAUCUAGAUAAAGGAUUCGUGGGAUUGGCUGCCAGAGUCCUCAGAUAUUCAGAGGAGCAUUGGGCAGAUCGCCCACCUCUUCUCCGAUCCGAAGGUGUUACUUUAAGAGGACAUCAAAAUCUUUAUUCCAGUUCCUUAUCUCCAGCAUCUCCAGCAAUCCAAAGUAUUUCUUGCCA